RNAcentral lists this ribosomal RNA (316 nucleotides) under uncultured eukaryote. RNAcentral describes it as "partial 18S ribosomal RNA". It matches the Rfam family "Eukaryotic small subunit ribosomal RNA", at positions 1470 to 1796 of the family's 1831-position model. The record is from RNAcentral.
CCCUUAGAUGUUCUGGGCUGCACGCGCGCUACACUGAUGCAUGCAACGAGUUUUCGACCUUGCCUGAAAAGGUUGGGUAAUCUGUUUAACAUGUGUCGUGAUGGGGAUAGACCAUUGCAAUUUUUGGUCUUCAACGAGGAAUUCCUAGUAAACGCAAGUCAUCAACUUGCAUUGAUUACGUCCCUGCCCUUUGUACACACCGCCCGUCGCACCUACCGAUUGAAUGGUCCGGUGAAGCCUCCGGAUUGGCGCGCACCUCGGUGCCGCCGAGAAGUUGGCUAAACCUUACCAUUUAGAGGAAGGUGAAGUCGUAACA